RNAcentral lists this ribosomal RNA (233 nucleotides) under uncultured Lactobacillus sp. Its description in RNAcentral is "partial 16S ribosomal RNA". It matches the Rfam family "Bacterial small subunit ribosomal RNA", at positions 129 to 355 of the family's 1533-position model. The record is from RNAcentral. Lineage: Bacteria; Bacillati; Bacillota; Bacilli; Lactobacillales; Lactobacillaceae.
CCCAAGAGAUCGGGAUAACACCUGGAAACAGAUGCUAAUACCGGAUAACAACAGAUGAUGCCUAUCAACUGUUUAAAAGAUGGUUCUGCUAUCACUCUUGGAUGGACCUGCGGUGCAUUAGCUAGUUGGUAGGGUAACAGCCUACCAAGGCGAUGAUGCAUAGCCGAGUUGAGAGACUGAUCGGCCACAUUGGGACUGAGACACGGCCCAAACUCCUACGGGAGGCAGCAGCC